Heterocephalus glaber (naked mole-rat) is the source of this 3539-nucleotide long non-coding RNA. RefSeq lists it as uncharacterized. Lineage: Eukaryota; Metazoa; Chordata; Mammalia; Rodentia; Bathyergidae. The record is from RefSeq and is a predicted model, not a curated record.
GGCGAGCGCGCGCGCACGCGCGGCGGGCGGGGGUCGCGGGGCGGGAGCAGGUCCGGCCCUCAGCUCGUCAGCUCGCCUUCCCUUUGUGUCCGCUCCCGUCGCCACCGCGUCACAAAGACCCCGGCCCGCAGGGUGAGGGGCGCGUGACGGAGCCGCGGGGGAGGGGGGGCUACGACCCCGCCCCGCGUACACCCCAGCCCCGCCCGCGGCCGGCCGGCACCGCCUCCGGGGGAGCUAUUGUUCCUGCGGCCGGGCGGGAGCGCUCCGGGGGUCGCCCCUCUCCUCCGGCCGACGCCAAGCGCUCCCCACCCGCCCCGCCGCCCGUAAUCAGCGUAUUUGCCGCCCUUUGUGAACGUUUUCGAAGCGUCUCCUUCGAACGUUUUGGAACGCCGCCGUGGAAGAAGGGCAGGUGGUCUGUGGCAGGUGGUCUGUCAUGUAUCUGUUUUCCAAGAGAAGAAACUGAGCCGCGGAGAGUAAAGGUGACUUGUCCAAGGUCACAUACCAAGAAAGGGGCAUGAGCAGGAUUGGAACCCAAGUUCUGACUCCAGAACUUGGAGAACACAGAGAUGUUGGGUGAAUCGCUGAAUCUCUAGGACUUCCUCCCCACCCGCGAUCCCAGAUGAGAAAGUUGGGACCCGGAAAAAAGUGAUCUGACUCCCAAUCUAGUGCUCUCCACACCACAUCUUGUGAGGUGAUCUCUACCCAGACAUAGUGCCCCUCUGCUAUGUGCCACUCUGCCUUGGAACCAGCUUGGACUGAAACCUCUACCAAUUGAUCCGUUCCCUCAGAGCUUAAUCUACUCUGGGGACACUAACAAGUGAAUUUCCCAUCCUGCAAACCAAGAAUGAUUUUCCUAGAACUGAUUAUUCCUCCAAAUCAUAAUGACAGGCAGCUUUGGAACUAAGUAGAUUUCUCUAGUUUUUGUCACAGAUGAAGAAAGAAAAGUCAUUGUGUAAUCAAAUAAAGAAAUUACUCCAAAAGAUCUGAUAUUGCCAUCACUGUAUCUGUGGUCUUAGCCAGGUCAUAUCCUGGAGCAACCACAGAUUCAUCUUAAAAUCAGGAGUGGAGUCUGUGAUCCCUCAGGUCUGAGGAACACUUUUAAAAGCAUACAAUCCUGUAUAAACAAUUUCUGUAAUUUCUGAAGUGAAAGGGCCUGCACAGUUAGAGAAUGAGUCCACUUCCCCUCUUCAAGAUUGAAGGAACUAGGGUCAGAAAGGUGAAAUGGAUUGUCCAAGAUCAUAAAGAUGGUGACUUGGAAAGUCCAGAUUUUUUUUUUUGUCUCAGUAAUAUGGUGUCCUUAGCAACUACAGGGCUCUCCCCUUGGAUGGAGACAAAUUAUUCAUCAGUGACUCCCUUAAGUCACUUUGGCAUCCUCUACAAUGGGGAUUUAGUAUCUCUCUCAUACCAGAUGCUUAGUAAGACUUAUUCUGCUAAAGUAUAUGAAACCUAUGUAUGUUUCCCAUAUGUUCUAGUCGCAAGAAGCUUCCUAUAAAAUUAAUCUCUCAAACAUGUGAUGACAAACAUGUAGCUAAGCAACAAUAAUUGGAACAAUAAAGUGGCCAUUGUAUGUUCCUUCCCUUGCUGGGAAGGGUGAACAUAUUUGCAGACUGUUUUUUCUUCUCCAAGCCUGUUUUUUCAGAGUAGCAGGCAAACAUCAAGAUGGUGGCCGUUUAAAAUUGGCCAAUCCAUAUCAAAAGAAUAAGGAACCAACUUGAAAGGACCCCUGCUAGUCAAAAGUGUGACAACUGAUUGUCAAGGGUGAUAGGUACAUGAGGUUUCCUUCAGUUAUUUUCUUAAUUUUUAUGUAUGCUUGACAUUUUCUUUCUUUUUUUUCUUUUUUUUUUGGUUCCGGGGAUCGAACCUCAGGUCCUUGCGCUUGCACAGCAGGCGGCAAAACCACUGAGCUAAAUCCCUGGCCCUGUUUGACAUUUUCUAUAAUAAAAAGUUAGAGGGAGAAAAGCCUGUGGCUUUUAAAUAUAUUGAUACAAUAAUUUAAAAUCACACUGUUACAAGUCAACUAUUCUCACACAAUGCCUGGAUAGAGGUUACUAUAGUUGUACUGGAACAGGCUGGAGGGGACCAGGACAGAUCAGAGAACCUUCACACGGGGAGGGUGAGGCAGGAGGAUCACAAGUUUAAGGUCUCCCUUGGCAAUUUAGUGAGUUAGUGAGAACCUGUCUCAAAAUAAAAAGAGAUGGGGAGGUAGUUAAGGUGAAGGCUCUAGGUUCAAUCUCCAGUACAAAAAAGAAAGGAAGGAAGGAAGGAAAGAGAAGGGAGGGGAGGAGAGGGGAGAGAAGGGGUGCAGACUUUACAUAAGUGACAGAAUCUGAUCAGGGUCUCCCACAAUAUACCACCUCAUCCUAAAAGUUAAGGUCAGGAUGAAGUAUUAUUGUGAGCAGGCUUUCCACCUACUGGGUAUCCCUCUCCACAGUCAUACUGGGCAUAUAAGGAAUCAAAGAUCAAGAGAGUUAAACACAUGUCAAAGGCAGUUUGGCCUCAGAUUCUAAGCAAAGCUAAACGAAGGGACAUUUAUCUUUGGGGCUGUGUCCUGGAACCCCUAAAUUUUCAGGCCUUGAUUUGAGUAUGUUGCUCUCAUAUCCCUACAGUGACACCCAUUCUGAGCCUCUUCCCCAAGGUCCAAAAUUAAUUUUUGCCUUUAUCAAUACUUCUAUUCCCUAUAAACCCUUGAUUCCCAAAAUAAAAUUUACUAACACAUGCUCUGCACACUCUGGAUGUUCUAUAUAUCUCUAUCUGCCAAUCUGUCCGUGCCCAACUUACUUUUUGUAGUUUUUAUUACUAAAUCAGUGGGUACACCGAAUGCUCUUAAAUCACACAGCUCCCAGAGCAGAUUCUGAACUGAUUCCCCCGCCCUAACUCCUCUUACCCAGGAGAGGCCAAUAUGUCUACUUUCCUCCUGCCCCCGCUCCUUCUAAGAAGCAUUAGAACUCUGAUCCACAAAUAAAAAUGGGAUUACUGCCUAUUUUCUUCUAUUGUAUGUAAUGCUAUUUAUGUAUACAUUACAUAUGUGUGUUUGUAUAUAUACACUUUCUAAAUAAAUCUUUUUUCCAAUCUUGAUUACUUCAAGAGAAAUGCCUACAAACAGAAUGGCUGCCACAAAACAUGAAAACAUCAAAGACUUCUGUGACAUCAUCAACUUGUCCUUGUACAAAUGUUAUGUUGACUUACAGUCCCACUUACAGCACAUAAGCAUUUCUAUUUCCCUGCUUCAUUUACUUUUGCCAUUACCUUUUUUGUUCUAUGGCAACUAUGGAGGUGAAAAAAUGUCACUUCAUUGUUUAAUGAUCACAGAUCCAGCUCUCAUGCAAAUAAGCUACACUCUGAACCAUGUCCCUGUGAUACUUAGCAACUGUAAAUAUAUGGAAUUAAAGCCAAGCAAUUUAAUAAUUCUUCCUUGCAAUUUAUGCGGUACCACUAGCAGCCACAAGGUGGUGGUAGACUUAUGGGGAGUCUAAAUUUCGCAAAGGUUUGGCCCCACUGUAGCCAGUUGACCUCUAGUAAGCGCAUAAUAGCAGAUAACU